RNAcentral lists this transfer RNA (73 nucleotides) under Stegodyphus mimosarum. It matches the Rfam family "tRNA". Rfam says of the family: Transfer RNA (tRNA) molecules are approximately 80 nucleotides in length. Their secondary structure includes four short double-helical elements and three loops (D, anti-codon, and T loops). Lineage: Eukaryota; Metazoa; Arthropoda; Arachnida; Araneae; Eresidae. The record is from Rfam by way of RNAcentral.
GCCUUUGUGGUGUAGUGGUCAGCACACUCGACCCGUAACCGACAGGUCCGUGGUUCGAUUCUCGGCAAGGGCA